Molecule: ribosomal RNA, 877 nt
Filed under: uncultured archaeon
Lineage: Archaea
Description: bacterial SSU rRNA
Rfam family: Archaeal small subunit ribosomal RNA
Source: RNAcentral
CCCGACUGCUAUCGGGGUGAGGCUAAGCCAUGGGAGUCGCGCGCCCCGCCGCCGCGGGGCGUGGCGCACGGCUGAGUAACACGUGGCUAACCUGCCCUCGGGACGGGGAUAACCCCGGGAAACUGGGGCCAAUCCCCCAUAGGGGAAGGGCGCUGGAAGGCCCCCUCCCCGAAAGGACGGCGGCCGAUCCGCCGCCGCCCGCCCGAGGAUGGGGGCACGGCCCAUCAGGUAGUUGGCGGGUUAAAGGCCCGCCAAGCCGAAGACGGGUAGGGGCGGUGAGAGCCGCGAGCCCCGAGAUCGGCACUGAGACAAGGGCCGAGGCCCUACGGGGUGCAGCGGGCGCGAAUACUCCGCAAUGCGGGCAACCGCGACGGGGCUACCCCGAGUGCCGGGCGAAGAGCCCGGCUUUUGCCCGGUCUAAAACGCCGGGAGAAUAAGCGGGGGGCAAGUCUGGUGUCAGCCGCCGCGGUAAUACCAGCUCCGCGAGUGGUCGGGGUGUUUACUGGGCUUAAAGCGCCCGUAGCCGGCCCGGCAAGUCGCUCCUGAAAUCCCAGGGCUCAACCCUGGGGCAGGGGGCGAUACUGCCGGGCUAGGGGGCGGAAGAGGCCGCCGGUACUCCGGGGGUAGGGGCGAAAUCUGUUAAUCUCCGGAGGACCACCAGUGGCGAAAGCGGGCGGCCAGAACGCGCCCGACGGUGAGGGGCGAAAGCCGGGGGAGCAAAGGGGAUUAGAUACCCCUGUAGUCCCGGCCGUAAACGAUGCGGGCUAGCUGUCGGCUGGGCUUAGGGCUCGGCCGGUGGCCGAAGGGAAACCGUUAAGCUCGUCCGCCUGGGGAGUACGGCCGCCAAGGCUGAAACUUAAAGGGAUUGGCGGGGGGG